CAGCUUCCCAUGCAAGUCGAGCGGUAACAGGGGUAGCUUGCUUCCCGCUGACGAGCGGCGGACGGGUGAGUAAUGCUUAGGAAUCUGCCCAGUAGUGGGGGAUAGCCCGGGGAAACCCGGAUUAAUACCGCAUACGUCCUACGGGAGAAAGCAGGGGAUCUUCGGACCUUGCGCUAUUGGAUGAGCCUAAGUCGGAUUAGCUAGUUGGUGGGGUAAAGGCCUACCAAGGCGACGAUCCGUAGCUGGUCUGAGAGGAUGAUCAGCCACAUCGGGACUGAGACACGGCCCGAACUCCUACGGGAGGCAGCAGUGGGGAAUAUUGGACAAUGGGGGCAACCCUGAUCCAGCCAUGCCGCGUGUGUGAAGAAGGCUUUCGGGUUGUAAAGCACUUUCAGUAGGGAGGAAAACCUUAUGGUUAAUACCCAUGAGGCUUGACGUUACCUACAGAAGAAGCACCGGCUAACUCCGUGCCAGCAGCCGCGGUAAUACGGAGGGUGCGAGCGUUAAUCGGAAUUACUGGGCGUAAAGCGCGCGUAGGUGGUUUGGUAAGCGAGAUGUGAAAGCCCCGGGCUUAACCUGGGAACGGCAUUUCGAACUGUCAGACUAGAGUGUGGUAGAGGGUACUGGAAUUUCCUGUGUGCCGUGAGAUGCGUGAUAUAGUAAAGGAGCGCGCACUGGCGGAGGGCUCGUACCUGGAUCGACACUCAAGCCUUAGGGUGCGAAAGGUGGGGAGCGACAAGAGUAACACCUCUGCUA
Molecule: ribosomal RNA, 756 nt
Filed under: Marinobacter sp. EGU909
Lineage: Bacteria; Pseudomonadati; Pseudomonadota; Gammaproteobacteria; Pseudomonadales; Marinobacteraceae
Description: bacterial SSU rRNA
Rfam family: Bacterial small subunit ribosomal RNA
Source: RNAcentral